This 457-nucleotide ribosomal RNA is filed under the name uncultured bacterium. RNAcentral's name for it is "bacterial SSU rRNA". It matches the Rfam family "Bacterial small subunit ribosomal RNA", at positions 35 to 507 of the family's 1533-position model. The record is from RNAcentral.
GACGAACGGCUGGCGGCGUGCUUAACACAUGCAAGUCGAACGGGAGUAUUGAAGAAGCUUGCUUUAGAGAUACUUUAGUGGCGGACGGGUGAGUAACGCGUGAGGAGCUGUCCAAUGCAGGGGGACAACAGUUGGAAACGACUGCUAAUACCCCAUAAGCCGAGAGGUAAAAGGAUUUAUCCGGCAAUGGAGGUACUCGCGUCCUAUCAGCUAGUAGGUGAGGUAACGGCUCACCUAGGCGAAGACGGGUAGCCGGCCUGAGAGGGCGAACGGCCACACUGGAACUGAGAUACGGUCCAGACUCCUACGGGAGGCAGCAGUGGGGAAUAUUGGGCAAUGGGGGGAACCCUGACCCAGCGACGCCGCGUGGGUGAAGAAAUCCUUCGGGAUGUAAAGCCCUGUUGUAUGGGAAGAGCGGAAGACGGUACCAUACGAGGAAGCCCCGGCAAACUACGUG